This 370-nucleotide unclassified non-coding RNA is filed under the name uncultured fungus. RNAcentral's name for it is "partial contains 5.8S ribosomal RNA and internal transcribed spacer 2". The stretch from base 1 to 133 matches the Rfam family "5.8S ribosomal RNA", at positions 22 to 154 of the family's 154-position model. The record is from RNAcentral. Lineage: Eukaryota; Fungi.
UGGCUCUCGCAUCGAUGAAGAACGCAGCGAAAUGCGAUAAGUAAUGUGAAUUGCAGAAUUCAGUGAAUCAUCGAAUCUUUGAACGCACCUUGCGCUCCUUGGUAUUCCGAGGAGCAUGCCUGUUUGAGUGUCUUGAAGUCAUCAACCCCUCCAGUUUUUCGAAGCUGGGGAAGGUUGGAUAUGGGGGCCUGCUGCCGCAAGGCUGCUCCCCUCAAAUGUGUCGGUUGGACCUGUGGGUCGGACUCGUUGGGCGUUGUAUCAACCUCGCUCUGACAGAGAUGUUCCCCUUUUGCGUCCUCCCUCGACUCGCCGCAGAGUGGCAGUCAACAUUUUGAAAUCUGACCUCAAAUCAGGUAGGACUACCCGCUGA